UAGCGAUAUUAUUGAGAUAUGUGUAAUUUUGUGUAUUACACUGGAUUAGCCGCGUAGUAAUGACACACAUAUAUGAGUAUGAGUGUGUGAAGUAUGUGCGUGCGCAGCGACUCGUAAAACACAAGAAUGCAAUGUUUCCUACGUUGGUGGCAAAAAAGAUGGCGUGAGAAAAAGAGUGCUGAGACGCGUACAAUGUUUAUCUAUGAGUAUCUGGUAAAUCACAUAUUAUAUAAAUAUGAAACUAUUUUAAUAUCAUUUCUACAUAUAAUAUAUUAUGGCCGAAUGGCAAAUUCGUGUCAGAGGAGAAACUUAACCUUUUACACUCGAGGACAUUUUUGGUCGAGCGUAGCAGCUACUUUUGAUGAUUUAGCGUGUACGUGACGCGCGUCUCACAGCUAGCUCUAGCAUAAACAGGAACUGUCGCCUCUCGCUCGCCACUGGAGUUGCAGCACGGAACACCGCUUUUCAAGUGCAAAGGGUCAAAAAUUUGCGGGAAACGAUGCAUCUCGUUCCAGCAGAUUGUCUACAUUUCUACGAUAAUUUCAAUUAGCGACAGUAGAAUUGUUAGAGUCGCAAAUGGCUUCAACGUAGAACGCCUUGAUUUUGAUGCGGAUAUAACUGAAUUUCCUGAAUAGUAUCAAUCCGUAAAAAGGAAGCUGGAGCAUGUGCAAUUGAUGAGUUAUUUUGCUCCUGAAAUUUGAUAUUGUAAGAUUGAUAAAUCGCUAGCAAAAUUGUGAGAUGCGAAGAAAUAUAUAAAAUCAGUUGUCAGUUCCGAGGCCUUCGAGUCCUCAGUUCUAAGAAAAUAUUUUCAAAAAAGAAGCAGCGACUGAUAAAUUUUAUCAAUAUAGGUAAGACGCCACUAAAAUAUAUGUAGUUAUCACGUUAUACAUAUAGGAAAUCAUUAUACAUACGCGAUAGCUUCAUAAAUAAUGAUCGAAAAUACAUGAUAAAUAUUUAAAACGAGCACAGAGUAUUUUGAAAAAUCAAAUUAGUAAGAGAUUCGGCGGAUAAAAUUAAUUUUACGAAUUUAUGUUAUAUAAUUCGUAGAUGCUUUGGUGGAUAAAAUUAACGUUAAGAAUUUAUGUUAUAAUAUUUAAUAUAAAUUUCUACAUAUAUUACAUAUAGCAUAUUUCUAAUAUAAAUCUGUGUUUGUACACUGAUCCCUCAACUGGUACACUCAAUCGCAUUACGUUUAAUGACAUUACUAGCAAGUCAUUGUACGUGUACGUAUUUUUUCUUUUGUACCGACAAACUUUAUUCGCAUUUUCACUUUCAUUCGCGUAAAUUGAAGGACGGGUGUGUAUAUCCCGGUUGAGAUGAAUUAUUCUUCUCUACAAUAUUGACGUUUAGCAUUAAUAGCAAUAAAACAUUAGUGUAACACACACAGCCAUGUCAUAUUGAUACCGUCUAUAUCUCGAUGUUUCCCAAAUGUGCACCAUAGACAAUUGAUCAUUCCAAAAAAUAUCUGCAAAAAUUUCAUUCGAAAAAUACAUUAAUGUACGCGUGCUUGAAUUACGAGACUCUUUUUGCAAGGAGACUGGUCAUACCGUUGUAGAAAAAUAGCAGCUGGAAAACAGAAUAACAAUACUCAACAUUUCUACGCAUUCACAAUGUCGAAGAGAAACUGGUACUGUUGUCGAUAACAUGCUCCUCUCGUUCACCUAUCCCCUUUCCAUUCUUUUUACGAAGCUGCAUGGGAUCGAGGGUACAUUCAAAUAGAAAGUUUAACACAUGCGAGUAGUUGGCAAUAAACGUUAACGAAGCCGCAGUUACUAUUAGCCACGAUCACGUCGAUAGCCAAGGGAUACAGUGAAUGGAUGCAGCUUUGCUUGCGUGUACGAUAAAGCACGAGAGGUGUAUCACUAGACUUUGAACAGUGUACUAUAUCAGCGCGGAAUAUAAUUCUGAAUAAAUAACGAAGUACGAGCAUUUGUACUACGCUGCAUUCACUGUACCAUCGAUACAGCUUUUGUGUUUGUUAUAUACACGGAAAUCAUUAUAUCUUGGGAAUGAACGCUCGAAAUAAGAUUCUGGAAGCUGGCGAAGUUUAUUGAUUCGUAUGUUGAACAUGUACUACGCGUACAGUGCUGUGAAUAAUUGCAGACUCGAACGUAUUUUCCGCAUUAUUUCUUCGAUAUUUCCAAAAAAUCAUUGUUCAUGUCUGAAUAUUGUUCAGUGAAGUUGUGUUUGUAGAGGGUAGAUUGAACGCUAUGGGAUACGAAGCGAUGUUACAUGGCGAAUUAUUGUCUUUCAUAGGCGAAAUAAAAGACAAAAGACAAUGUUUCAGCGAGACCGAAGCGUGCUUUCAAAAUUUCCGGAUAGAAUACGAAAGUUUACAAUAACAGGAAGCUACCUGUGGAAGAUAUCGCGCAACUUGGAAAAAAGGUAAAUUUCCGCGUGGGCGGAUAUUCGAAACGGAACUUUAAAUAAGUUAGAGGAUAGCGUGCUUGGCAGAUUAGUAGAAGUAAUCAAAGAUAAAGGAAAAUCAACUAAAUAUCGAAUGAGAAGGUAACGAAAUUAACAUUGAGUUUAUAUGUGUUCAGAGCGAGAAACAAUUUUAGGAGAAAAUUUAACUGUUUGCUGUAUCUUCUGUUUUCUUUCAUAUUGUAAUAUGAAAUUAUAUAAGCGAUUUCACCGAUUUUUGUUUUAAUAUUACAACAAACUUUAAAAUAGGGCAGUGUUUAUGAUCAGUCGCUGUACAUGGAACACAAAUGCGUUCCUCAUCCACAAGAUUGCAAAUAAAUUGUUCAUAGCAAACCCGCUAAAGAUCUACAGGAACCUAUAAGGAAUCGUCAUACAUAAAAGAUGAAUUUUUCAUAGUAAAAACACGAAGGAUACAAGCAAAAUGUACUUCACGUGUCUAAGAAUUAUCUACUAGAUAAAAAAAUGAAUAAUCCAAAUUCUUCAGCGAAAUUGAAAAUUUAUUAAAAAGGAAAUACAGCCAGUU
This is a long non-coding RNA of Bombus pascuorum, 2947 nucleotides long. RefSeq lists it as uncharacterized. NCBI's taxonomy places the organism in Eukaryota, Metazoa, Arthropoda, Insecta, Hymenoptera, Apidae. The record is from RefSeq and is a predicted model, not a curated record. The transcript has 4 exons.